This 362-nucleotide long non-coding RNA is filed under the name Mytilus galloprovincialis (Mediterranean mussel). Lineage: Eukaryota; Metazoa; Mollusca; Bivalvia; Mytilida; Mytilidae. The record is from RNAcentral.
AGCCCAUAUGUCCUGGCGCGGCGAUUUUUAAUCAACAACCAAUCAACCAAUCAACCACAUACAUCGUAUAGCAUAUUCAAAUAUCAAAUUUAUUAAACAACCUUUAGUUUAAAGUAAGUCGAGUACAUGCCAUAUUUCCAUCACGAUUUUCAAAUAAUAAUUAUGUGACGAUAUCUAAAAAUCUAAACUUCCACAAUUAAUAUACAUGAGCGAUAAUAAUUAUGAACGAAUUUUAAGAUGGCUCUUACUGGUACAUUUUUACAGUCUGACCUUUGCAACUAAACAAUAGUAGUAUCUAUAAACGUUACAUGUUUACUAUACAUAGUCUUUUAAUAAGAUCAGGACAUUUAAAUCAGGCGCAC